GACGAACGCUGGCGGCGUGCCUAAUACAUGCAAGUAGAACGCACAGUUUAUGCCGUAGCUUGCUACACCAUAGACUGUGAGUUGCGAACGGGUGAGUAACGCGUAGGUAACCUGCCUGGUAGCGGGGGAUAACUAUUGGAAACGAUAGCUAAUACCGCAUAAUAUUAAUUAUUGCAUGAUAAUUAAUUGAAAGGUGCAAUUGCACCACUACCAGAUGGACCUGCGUUGUAUUAGCUAGUAGGUGAGGUAACGGCUCACCUAGGCGACGAUACAUAGCCGACCUGAGAGGGUGAUCGGCCACACUGGGACUGAGACACGGCCCAGACUCCUACGGGAGGCAGCAGUAGGGAAUCUUCGGCAAUGGACGAAAGUCUGACCGAGCAACGCCGCGUGAGUGAAGAAGGUUUUCGGAUCGUAAAGCUCUGUUGUAAGAGAAGAACGGGUGUGAGAGUGGAAAGUCCACACUGUGACGGUAUCUUACCAGAAAGGGACGGCUAACUACGUG
This 505-nucleotide ribosomal RNA is filed under the name uncultured bacterium. Its description in RNAcentral is "partial 16S ribosomal RNA". It matches the Rfam family "Bacterial small subunit ribosomal RNA", at positions 28 to 507 of the family's 1533-position model. The record is from RNAcentral.